AGCGAACGCUGGCGGCGUGCUUAACACAUGCAAGUCGAGGGAGAACGGAGGGCUUCGGCCUUCUUAGUAAACCGGCGCACGGGUGAGUAACACGUAGGUAACCUACCUCCGAGUUCGGGAUAACCUGUCGAAAGAUAGGCUAAUACCGGAUAAGACCACGAUGGCUUCGGCCAUUGCGGUCAAAGAUGGCCUCUAUUUAUAAGCUAUCGCUUGGGGAUGGGCCUGCGCACCAUUAGCUAGUUGGUGAGGUAAUGGCUCACCAAGGCUACGAUGGUUAGUGGGUCUGAGAGGAUGACCAGCCACACUGGGACUGAGACACGGCCCAGACUCCUACGGGAGGCAGCAGUGGGGAAUAUUGCGCAAUGGGGGAAACCCUGACGCAGCGACGCCGCGUGGGUGAUGAAGGCCUUCGGGUCGUAAAGCCCUGUCGGAGGGGAAGAAGGACUCUCGUGCAAAUAGUUCGAGGGUUUGACGGUACCCUUAGAGGAAGCACCGGCUAACUCCGUGCCAGCAGCCGCAGUAAAAC
This 526-nucleotide ribosomal RNA is filed under the name uncultured bacterium. Its description in RNAcentral is "bacterial SSU rRNA". It matches the Rfam family "Bacterial small subunit ribosomal RNA", at positions 29 to 526 of the family's 1533-position model. The record is from RNAcentral.